Molecule: ribosomal RNA, 497 nt
Filed under: uncultured bacterium
Lineage: Bacteria
Description: partial 16S ribosomal RNA
Rfam family: Bacterial small subunit ribosomal RNA
Source: RNAcentral
GAUGAACGCUGGCGGCGUGCCUAAUACAUGCAAGUCGAGCGAACAGACGAGGAGCUUGCUCCUCUGACGUUAGCGGCGGACGGGUGAGUAACACGUGGAUAACCUACCUAUAAGACUGGGAUAACUUCGGGAAACCGGAGCUAAUACCGGAUAAUAUAUUGAACCGCAUGGUUCAAUAGUGAAAGACGGUUUUGCUGUCACUUAUAGAUGGAUCCGCGCCGCAUUAGCUAGUUGGUAAGGUAACGGCCUACCAAGGCAACGAUGCGUAGCCGACCUGAGAGGGUGAUCGGCCACACGGGAACUGAGACACGGUCCAGACUCCUACGGGAGGCAGCAGUAGGGAAUCUUGCGCAAUGGGCGAAAGCUUGACGGAGCAACGCCGCGUGAGUGAUGAAGGUCUUCGGAUCGUAAAACUCUGUUAUUAGGGAAGAACAAAUGUGUAAGUAACUAUGCCCGUCUUGACGGUACCUAAUCAGAAAGCAACGGCUAACUACGUG